Microdochium bolleyi is the source of this 121-nucleotide transfer RNA. It matches the Rfam family "tRNA". Rfam says of the family: Transfer RNA (tRNA) molecules are approximately 80 nucleotides in length. Their secondary structure includes four short double-helical elements and three loops (D, anti-codon, and T loops). The record is from Rfam. NCBI's taxonomy places the organism in Eukaryota, Fungi, Ascomycota, Sordariomycetes, Xylariales, Microdochiaceae.
GGCAAAGUGCCAGAGUGGUUAAUGGGUCAGCCUCGAAAAAGCUGAUCUGCCUCAUAAGCCGAUCAGCUUAAUACGUAAGCUGAUGACUUCGGUCGCGCAGGUUCGAGUCCUGUCUUUGUCG